GAAGGGGGCUAGCGUUGCUCGGAAUCACUGGGCGUAAAGCGCACGUAGGCGGAUUGUUAAGUCAGGGGUGAAAUCCUGGAGCUCAACUUCGGAACUGCCUUUGAUACAGCACGUCUUGAGUCCGAUAGAGGUGGGUGGAAUUCCUAGUGUAGAGGUGAAAUUCGUAGAUAUUAGGAAGAACACCGGUGGCGAAGGCGGCAUCCUGGACCAACACUGACGCUGAGGAGCGAAAGCCAGGGGAGCAAACGGG
Molecule: ribosomal RNA, 250 nt
Filed under: uncultured bacterium
Lineage: Bacteria
Description: partial 16S ribosomal RNA
Rfam family: Bacterial small subunit ribosomal RNA
Source: RNAcentral